RNAcentral lists this ribosomal RNA (253 nucleotides) under uncultured bacterium. RNAcentral describes it as "partial 16S ribosomal RNA". It matches the Rfam family "Bacterial small subunit ribosomal RNA", at positions 524 to 776 of the family's 1533-position model. The record is from RNAcentral.
UACGUAGGGGGCUAGCGUUGUCCGGAUUUAUUGGGCGUAAAGAGCGUGUAGGCGGCCAGGUAGGUCUGCUGUGAAAACUCGAGGCUCAACCUCGAGACGUCGGCGGAAACCAUCUGGCUAGAGUCCGGAAGAGGAGAGUGGAAUUCCUGGUGUAGCGGUGAAAUGCGCAGAUAUCAGGAAGAACACCCGUGGCGAAGGCAGUCCCCUGGGCCUGUACUGACGCUCAUGCACGAAAGCGUGGGGAGCAAACAGG